This 468-nucleotide ribosomal RNA is filed under the name uncultured bacterium. Its description in RNAcentral is "partial 16S ribosomal RNA". It matches the Rfam family "Bacterial small subunit ribosomal RNA", at positions 28 to 507 of the family's 1533-position model. The record is from RNAcentral.
GACGAACGCUGGCGGCGUGCUUAACACAUGCAAGUCGAACGGAAAGGCUCCAGCUUUCUGGAGUACUCGAGUGGCGAACGGGUGAGUAACACGUGGGUGAUCUGCCCUGCACUUCGGGAUAAGCCUGGGAAACUGGGUCUAAUACCGGAUAGGACCGCACUUUGGUGUGUGUGGUGGAAAGGUUUUUCUGGUGUGGGAUGAGCUCGCGGCCUAUCAGUUUGUUGGUGGGGUAAUGGCCUACCAAGACGGCGACGGGUAGCCGGCCUGAGAGGGUGGACGGUCACAUUGGGACUGAGAUACGGCCCAGACUCCUACGGGAGGCAGCAGUGGGGAAUAUUGCACAAUGGGGGAAACCCUGAUGCAGCGACGCCGCGUGGGGGAGGAAGGCCUUCGGGUUGUAAACUCCUUUCGCUAGGGACGAAGCUUUUUGUGACGGUACCUGGAGAAGAAGCACCGGCUAACUACGUG